CCUACGGGAGGCAGCAGUAAGGAAUAUUGGUCAAUGGACGGAAGUCUGAACCAGCCAUGCCGCGUGCAGGAUGACGGCCCUCUGGGUUGUAAACUGCUUUUAUAGGGGACGAAAAAAGGGGAUUCUUCCUCACUUGACGGUACCCUAGGAAUAAGCACCGGCUAACUCCGUGCCAGCAGCCGCGGUAAUACGGAGGGUGCAAGCGUUAUCCGGAUUUACUGGGUUUAAAGGGUGCGUAGGUGGGUCGGUAAGUCAGCGGUGAAAUCUUCGAGCUUAACUCGGAAACUGCCAUUGAUACUAUCGAUCUUGAAUCGUCUAGAGGUAAGCGGAAUAUGUCAUGUAGCGGUGAAAUGCUUAGAUAUGACAUAGAACACCAAUUGCGAAGGCAGCUUACUAUGGAUGUAUUGACACUGAGGCACGAAAGCGUGGGGAUCAAACAGGAUUAGAUACCCUGGUAGUCCACGCCCUAAACGAUGGAUACUCGACAUUUGAGAUAUACUUUAAGUGUCUGAGCGAAAGCAUUAAGUAUCCCACCUGGAAGUACGAUCGCAAGAUUGAAACUCAAAGGAAUUGACGGCUGAGACGAGCGAGACGACGACGAGGGAGGAGG
This 610-nucleotide ribosomal RNA is filed under the name uncultured bacterium. RNAcentral describes it as "bacterial SSU rRNA". It matches the Rfam family "Bacterial small subunit ribosomal RNA", at positions 338 to 951 of the family's 1533-position model. The record is from RNAcentral.